This is a small nucleolar RNA of 209 nucleotides. Its record names the gene U3. It matches the Rfam family "Small nucleolar RNA U3". Rfam says of the family: Small nucleolar RNAs (snoRNAs) are involved in the processing and modification of rRNA in the nucleolus. There are two main classes of snoRNAs: the box C/D class, and the box H/ACA class. The record is from Ensembl.
AUGACUCUACUGUCAGGGAUCAUUUCUACAGUGCCUGACUUAGACAUGCGUUUCGUAAGUUUUAAGUCUUGCCACCCACGAUGAUGAUCUGGGAUAUUCCUUUCUGUGCGUGAAUCUGACAGAGGUCAAUGUAAAAACUCCACGAGAUGUUUGUCAUUGAUGAACGUUCCCAAUGGUCUUUGUCAUGGGAGGAAGGGAAUAGUGAUGGG